Molecule: non-coding RNA, 21 nt
Organism: Caenorhabditis elegans
Lineage: Eukaryota; Metazoa; Nematoda; Chromadorea; Rhabditida; Rhabditidae
Source: Ensembl
UAGGAUAUUUGGGUAGGAUAA